AACUUUUGGCAACGGAUCACUUGGCUCUCGCAUCGAUGAAGAACGCAGCGAAUUGCGAUAAGUAAUGUGAAUUGCAGAAUUCAGUGAAUCAUCGAGUCUUUGAACGCACAUUGCGCCUUUUGGUAUUCCGAGAGGCACGCCUGUCUGAGCGUCAGCAAAAACCUUCGGUCUAGCGAUUUAUUGCGAAAGCCGGUUUUGGCGGCGGGCGCCCCAAACCCAAGGACCUUAAAACAGUCUGGCGGGCGGGAGGGCCCCACGUCUAAAAUCAGAAAGCGAGUUGUGUAUGAUGUAUACCCGGGCGAUAGUAGAAAUAUGAUCGUUGUCGGUGGGAAACGGAACAACCGCUAUAAAACCAUUUUUAGAUUUUUGACCUCAGAUCAGACGAGGAUACCCGCUGAACUUAAGCAUAUCAAUAAGCGGAGGCU
RNAcentral lists this unclassified non-coding RNA (425 nucleotides) under uncultured Ascomycota. RNAcentral describes it as "sequence contains ITS2". The stretch from base 1 to 154 matches the Rfam family "5.8S ribosomal RNA". The record is from RNAcentral. Lineage: Eukaryota; Fungi; Ascomycota.